CGGGUUAGCCAAGUAGUUUUUGUUUUUCGUUUUAAUUUACAAGUCUUGAUUAUGAUUUUUUUUUAGUUUUUGCACUGGAAAAUGGAAAAAAUAGGAGCGCUGUUUUAAUGAAAUUAUUAAAUAUUAUUCAAUUGCCUUAUUUGAGUAACAAAACAAGUACUGCAUGUACCAAAUUUUUAAGACCAAGAAUAUUUAAAAAUAAUUUACUUCUGCAGUUGUACUGUAGUAUUCGGAUUGAACUGGAUUGAGUUUUUGCGGGUGAUAUAUGAUUAGUGUUGACGUAUGAAUUACUAAAAGAUUGUUAUUGUGUGAGACUAAUGGAAACAUUCCAACUCUCCAAGGAUGCUCAAAACAAAUAUGCUACUCUGCAUCUGCUUUUCAGUUUAAUAAAGUUUGUUACGAAACCAUGAAAUCAUAAUGCCGGUAAGUUCAAGUAAUUAGAAGUAAUGAAGCAUAUGAUAAAACAUAGUGGGACUUUAUGCUGCCAAGGUUGAAGUUUCUUGAGAAUUAAGAUGGGGAUAAAACUAUUUGUACAAAAUUUGGUUCACAAAAUGGUUUAAUUCUCACAUGCAUACGGGUCCUCCUUGCAUUAAAAAAUUCGGCCAUGUGGUCCCUAUCAUUCUAUUGUGAGAGUGUGUAGAAUUUUUAGUGCAAAUGUGUUUGUACAUGUAGCACAAUCCGAAAGAUGGAAUGCACUCUUAUGUCUUCUGAAUAUUUUUUUAGCUGGGCAUCUUAAAUAUUUAAAUGCCUGAUCUUAUGUGUAUAUAUAUUUUUUUCAAUUUAUCGGGAUGGGCUUGCCUAUCGGGUUUCUUUUUGUUCAUAACAAGAAAAUGGUGUUCUAAAAGUGUAAAUAUUUGUCAGAUUCUAGUACUAGUGACAUUUGUUUUUUGUUUCAAGACCAGGUUAAAGUCAGGAAAUCCAUCGUUGGAUUGUUCUUUAUUAACUCUAGAUCCCUGUGUUGACUUCAGCAACCUUUGUGUGAAUAAUUACUGUGUAUAACGUUCAACACUUAUAUUGGUCCUUUUUUUUUUUUUCUUUUUUUUUUUGCACUUUGUCAUUAUAUUCAUUCAUGGGGAAGAUUAAAAAUGAAUUUUUGUGACCGGUUUGAAUGUUAAUGCGACAGGUGCAGAGCUGUUAGAUUGACAUGAACUUGCAGUCUUGAAAGUUCUCUAUACAGUGGUUGCCAAGCUGCGAAUGGUUUGAUUGUGGUGAAUGAAAUCCAAUUUAGUUGAAAAGGUUCAGCAUGAUAUAGAAAUAGACCACAUCUCAGUAGUUUUUGAUUGUGGUGAAUUAAAUCCAAAUUUCGAUUAGUGAAUAUUUUGUGUGCAUUUUAACUGGAGCACUUCUACAGCUCGGUCAUGCUUGCUUACCCUUUCACGUGGGCCUGGGGUGUGAAGAAUGAGUUGCCAUCUUGAAGUAUGGAUACGGUACUCUAGUAAGAUUGUCAAUCCUAGAAGAGAUAGAUAUACUUCAGGCGAGCAUGCAUGCUCUGAAUGAUCCUCAUCUUAUAGUUUUUUCAUGAUUGCACAAGGCAACUAGUGGAAUAACAUGAAGGAGUAGUUUCAUUUUUUUCUUCCUCAAAAAUAUUGGCCUCUGCUAUUUUCUCCUUUUUUCCAACUUAAUUUUGUCAUGAAAUGAGUAAAAGCAUCAUAGGAGUUAUGGAACUUAAGGAUAUGAUAAAUACAGAAAAAUUAGAAACCCCCAUGUUGUGGUACAUGAUUGUCCCUAUUGUGUUUUAUCCAUAAUCUUUCUCUGGAGAUGGCGCAUAUUAUAGUACAUAUGAAAUCUGGACAUUUUAAGUAAUCUUCUUGCUUAUAUUGACAAAUACAUGGAACUUUCAUCUUGCCCACCUUAUUGUUCCACUAAUUCAUUUGUCCUCUUUGAAAG
Molecule: long non-coding RNA, 1887 nt
Filed under: Olea europaea subsp. europaea
Lineage: Eukaryota; Viridiplantae; Streptophyta; Magnoliopsida; Lamiales; Oleaceae
Source: RNAcentral